Molecule: long non-coding RNA, 1093 nt
Filed under: Sinocyclocheilus grahami
Lineage: Eukaryota; Metazoa; Chordata; Actinopteri; Cypriniformes; Cyprinidae
Description: lncRNA (ENSSGRG00000024407.1)
Source: RNAcentral
GCAGUGUGUGCGGUCGUCACGGCCAGGAAAGGCCGAGAGAGAUAGCAACGCUUCAGAGCUGACCCGAGCCUCUGUUUUCACCACAGUGUGCCGUUUCUACGAGAUGGCAAACAGGCGAAGUUAAACAGCACUAUUAAUUAGGCUAAUAUGAAUAUGAGCACUGCCAGGGAAAUUCAAUUCUCUCAGCCCUAAUCACAACUGGAUAGCUUGUAAAAAAUUAUUUUGUUAGGCCCUGGUGCAAACAGCGCGGCCUUUUCCAAACAUUUGAGAACUAUUUGUUUUGCAUGGCGAUUAGCGUUUGCUGGUAGCGAGCGGCGGAGCAGCCAUAGGCUCCCGCGGGAACGGCUGACUCAGGGUGAGUGUGAGUGAACGCGGGCCGCUGCUGUUGUUUAUGGAGGUCUGUGUGUUUGAGCAGGUGGCGAGGAUUAGCGGUGCUGUCAACACUGAACGCUGGAUAAAGCUUCUGCUCACCCUUUCCUCAGUCUGCUCAUUAGAGCUCAUCAUUUUACCAUUUCACUCUCACACACGCAUCUGAAGAGAUGUAGUGGCAGCCCUGUCUCCUGUUGUGAAGCAGAUGUUGCCCUCUGUUUUUACCCACCUCUGCACCCUUUAUCCCAUGCCAAGUCCCAAGAAGCAAUGGUGCCAUGCUAAGUGAGGGACACAAUGGAUAUGUAAAAAUCCAGCAGAAUGCAGGUUUGACAGUGUGUCCUUUCUAAUUCCCACUCUCCAUCACUUAACCUCCUGGUCAGACAGAGGAACAGAGGGUGCUGGGAAAGAAGGGGUGAGUGAGGGACUGGGAGAAGGGGCCACUGGUCGCCAGACGCCCAGAGUCUUGACACUCCUUCAACUUGAACCCCCCUCUUGCCAAGUCUGUGUUUACCCGCACCAAACAAUAGGCCUGCUAUUGGCAAUUAAAUGGCAUUUGGAGAUCCCUGGUGCAAGUUAAUGGUAUUACUGUUGUGAUUCUUUCUCUGAAUGGUGUGAGGGAUUUCUUUCUGCACCAAUAAAACACAGCUCACCGUCUUACCAGCAUUACAUAGCUUACCUAAGGCUUAUGAUUCACGGCUGCGUGAUUACCGUUUGACUGUUUCUU